RNAcentral lists this transfer RNA (64 nucleotides) under Mesocricetus auratus (golden hamster). It matches the Rfam family "tRNA", at positions 1 to 62 of the family's 71-position model. Rfam says of the family: Transfer RNA (tRNA) molecules are approximately 80 nucleotides in length. Their secondary structure includes four short double-helical elements and three loops (D, anti-codon, and T loops). Lineage: Eukaryota; Metazoa; Chordata; Mammalia; Rodentia; Cricetidae. The record is from Rfam by way of RNAcentral.
GGGAAUAUAACUCAGUUGGUAGAGUGUUUGUCUGGUAUGCAUAAAGCUUUAGAUUUUACUCCUA